Molecule: long non-coding RNA, 453 nt
Filed under: Salvia miltiorrhiza (redroot sage)
Lineage: Eukaryota; Viridiplantae; Streptophyta; Magnoliopsida; Lamiales; Lamiaceae
Description: long non-coding RNA (SMIL_LNC004050)
Source: RNAcentral
GCUGCUGGGUUCGAAGAUGAUAAAGUGAAACCCUAGAAAGGGGUUUUUAAACGCAAAAUCAUACUGUCGGAUCUGCACAGAGGCGGCCGCCGCCGUGUAACGGCGCCGCCGUGAGGGCCUUUCGCAGAAUGGGCACGGCGGCCGCCGUCCCACGGCGCCCGCCGUCUACUGCAAUGCGCAGCGGUUUUGUUUUGGCCUGUUCUCCCUCGUUUCAAGUCGGAUUUUGGAUCCGUUUUCGCCUACGAACUCGUAUCGAGACAAACUUCGAUUCUUAUUCAAACCAAUCAACUAAAUUCUGACUUUAUUUUUGUCCACAUAUCAAUCAAUUUGAGCACAAAAUCCUGAGACAACAAAAUUAGCACAAAAGCUCAAAUCAUUCAACUCUUAAGUGAAAGAGACCAAAAUAAAAGUCAAUAUAAGACGUAAAUACCCAGAGAUUCAUCACAAAAUAGG